AUUGAACGCUGGCGGAAUGCUUUACACAUGCAAGUCGAACGGCAGCACGGGGGCAGCCCUGGUGGCGAGUGGCGAACGGGUGAGUAAUACAUCGGAACGUGCCCAGUCGUGGGGGAUAACGUAGCGAAAGCUACGCUAAUACCGCAUACGAACUCUGGUUGAAAGCGGGGGACUCGCAAGGGCCUCGCGCGAUUGGAGCGGCCGAUGGCAGAUUAGGUAGUUGGUGGGGUAAAGGCNCACCAAGCCGACGAUCUGUAGCUGGUCUGAGAGGACGACCAGCCACACUGGGACUGAGACACGGCCCAGACUCCUACGGGA
Molecule: ribosomal RNA, 318 nt
Filed under: uncultured bacterium
Lineage: Bacteria
Description: bacterial SSU rRNA
Rfam family: Bacterial small subunit ribosomal RNA
Source: RNAcentral